UUCCGCCUACGGGGGGCAGCAGUGGGGAAUAUUGGACAAUGGGGGGAACCCUGAUCCAGCGACGCCGCGUGAGUGAAGAAGGAUUUCGGAAUGUAAAGCUCUAUCAGCAGGGAAGAAAAUGACGGUACCUGACUAAGAAGCCCCGGCUAACUACGUGCCAGCAGCCGCGGUAAUACGUAGGGGGCAAGCGUUAUCCGGAUUUACUGGGUGUAAAGGGAGCGUAGACGGUGCAGCAAGUCUGAUGUGAAAGGUCGGGGCUCAACCCCGGGACGGCAUUGGAAACUGUUGAACUGGAGGACAGGAGG
Molecule: ribosomal RNA, 305 nt
Filed under: uncultured bacterium
Lineage: Bacteria
Description: bacterial SSU rRNA
Rfam family: Bacterial small subunit ribosomal RNA
Source: RNAcentral